Molecule: ribosomal RNA, 467 nt
Filed under: uncultured bacterium
Lineage: Bacteria
Description: partial 16S ribosomal RNA
Rfam family: Bacterial small subunit ribosomal RNA
Source: RNAcentral
GACGAACGCUGGCGGCGUGCUUAACACAUGCAAGUCGAACGGAAAGGCCCUGCUUUUGUGGGGUGCUCGAGUGGCGAACGGGUGAGUAACACGUGAGUAACCUGCCCUUGACUUUGGGAUAACUUCAGGAAACUGGGGCUAAUACCGGAUAGGAGCUCCUGCUGCAUGGUGGGGGUUGGAAAGUUUCGGCGGUUGGGGAUGGACUCGCGGCUUAUCAGCUUGUUGGUGGGGUAGUGGCUUACCAAGGCUUUGACGGGUAGCCGGCCUGGGAGGGUGACCGGCCACAUUGGGACUGAGAUACGGCCCAGACGCCUACGGGAGGCAGCAGUGGGGAAUAUUGCACAAUGGGCGGAGGCCGGAGGCAGCAACGCCGCGUGCGGGAUGACGGCCUUCGGGUUGUAAACCGCUUUCGCCUGUGACGAAGCGUGAGGGACGGUAAUGGGUAAAGAAGCACCGGCUAACUACGG